This 1148-nucleotide long non-coding RNA is filed under the name Homo sapiens (human). RNAcentral's name for it is "HSALNT0168519". The record is from RNAcentral. Lineage: Eukaryota; Metazoa; Chordata; Mammalia; Primates; Hominidae.
AACCUCUGGAAGCACUAUAGUAUGAGCCCGCUAACACAAUUAACUUGCAGUUAAUGACGAUGCCCCCGCCAGAACUAAUUAAGCCAGUGGUGCUUGUAGCACAAAAGAUUGGGGCCUGUUUUAAAGCAUCAAUUGUGACAUCAUUUAGAAGUCAUUUCAAACUCCUCCAAACUCCAAAACUAUUCCUCUGAAAACAAAUGCAGUAUAAUGUUCUUAGAGUUGUUGGUUUUAUUUUCUGCUGUCAAAAAUCUGACAAAAGUCAGUUGAAACUGUCAAGGAAAAACAUCACACCAUAUGAGAUUUUCCUCAAAUUUGAAGUCUAUAGAAGGAAUGACAAAUCUGUUUUAUAGAUUUUUCUAGCACAAAAGCAAAUUAGGAAAGUCUAGGAGACACACUAUCACAAUACAUACAUGAGGUUGCGCUUGACGCAGUUCGUAAAUUUGAGGCCAUGACAAAGAAUUAAAAUUAGAUCAAUUUGGUUUUGAUCUGAAUUAUCUGUUCAGCUUAAAGUACAGAAGGAUCAAUGGGAUGGAUGUUUUUGUGCGUAUUUUUUCUACACACAACUCACAUUAAGAGACAAGGAGAAUUUCUUCUGCUCACAUCCCUAGAGGAUCUCUUUGUAAAGGCCCCUCUGGCCUUCAUUUUUUUUUUUUUUUUUUUUGGUCUGAACUAUCAGUAAAGACUCCACCUCUGCUGGGUAAUAUUUCGUUGAUUGUUUGAUUUAUGGACUGAUUGCUUUGGUUGACUGUUUUCUUGUAUCUGUCCAGUGUCUAAUACUGUGAUGUGCACUGCAAGGAAUUUAGGUAAAUUAUCUUCCCUAUGCUCAAGUACUUCCUUCUCCAUGGUAGAGACCCCUAGUUACUCUCUCGAUUUCUUCUUUCAUCCUUCUGUAGUAGCGCCUUUCAAAUUGCAGGCAUCCCCCAUUUGUUGGUCACAAACAACAUUUAUUUUAUAAACUAUAAAAAUAUUAAAUGUUGGCCAAGCAUGAUGGCCCAUGCCUGUAAUCCCAGCAUUUUGGGAGGUCAAGGUGGGCAGAUCACUUGAGGCCAGGAGUUUGAGACCAGCCUGUCCGACAUGAUGAAACCCCGUCUCUACUAAAAAUACAAAAAUUAACAGGGCAUGGUGGCAGGCACCUGUAAUCCCAGCUA